RNAcentral lists this long non-coding RNA (405 nucleotides) under Mytilus galloprovincialis (Mediterranean mussel). Lineage: Eukaryota; Metazoa; Mollusca; Bivalvia; Mytilida; Mytilidae. The record is from RNAcentral.
UGGUUGCUUAACGUCCAGUGGCAAAUAUUUCAUGCAUAUUCAGGACGAGAACAAGUUCACAAUAAAUACAAUAGGUAGGUUGAUACAAUAGAGGCCAUCUGGGAUGAUGGUCAGGGAAAUUUGGACUGCCACUGGAAAAUGAGGGUAUAUUGGAUAGGGUCAGAAAUUUUGCCUUGCAACAGCCCUACGGAACCCUCAAAGAGUUGUUGCAAGGGUUCUUAACGUGCAAAGAGCGUGGCACUCUCUUUACACGAGUCAUCGGAUUUAACGUCCCCCUUCUGACCGGACGUGACUGCGAACUUGAUACAUCCGCACAGCCAAACGGACGCCCCACUUCGGCAAGCGUUUUACUGCCGGUCGGGAGAAGACCAAGUGACCAUAUUUCUAUUCCCCAGUCACCCUUGG